CUCCUCUCAGAUGACUCCAGCUUGUGUCAAGUUGACUUAAAAACUAGCCAGCACAAGUGCCACAGCUCAUGACAGUUCAGUUUUUCAUUCAGGCCAUUUUCCCAAUACCCAUGGUGGUGAAUACAGCACUUUAAAAAAAAAAAAAAAAAAACCACUGGCUUAAGUCAUAGGAGUUCCUGGAUCUAUUUUUAUUCAAGACCUAAAGAGUUCUUUGUUUGUUUGUUUGCUUACUUAUUUUUGAGACAGGGUUUCCCUGUGUAGUCCUGGCUCAGAUUUGCUGGGAUUAAAGAUUUGAAAUCCUGGUGACUUAAUAAGAUUCCUGACUCUCCACAGCCAACCUCGAUCAUAACAUGAAAUAGAAUCUACCUGGAAAACAUUCUUGCAGCACAAAACUCCUUUUAUUAUAUGUUGAUUCUUUACAACCUCAAUUUUAAGAAUGCUUAUCAAUAACUACAAGAGAUAAAGGCCAGAAGAGGACCUCAGAUUCCUGGAACUGGAGCUACAGAUGGUUGUUAUGGGUGGUGUGUGCUGUACCAGUGGGUGCUGGGAAUCAAACCUGGGUCCUCUGGAUAAGCAGUCAGUGCUUUCAACUGCUGAGCCUUCUCCCCAGCCCCAAGUAUUCUAUUAUCUUUAAAGGUAUUGUUGAGAUAUAAUUAAUUUACAGCAAACAGCAUAUACUUAAAGCAUUUGAUCGAUGAAUCUGGUUUACCCGCAUCCUGAGAGUCCAUCAAGAUAAUCAAGAUGACACAUUCUGACCAUGUCCAAAACCUCCCCGUGUCCCUUCAUGAUUUAUGUCUCCCUAUAAACCUCAUGCUCUGACAACCAACAGCUUACUAUAAAUUAGUUUGUAAGUUUUAGGAUUUUAAGGAAAUUAAAUUCUGCCUGAAAC
Molecule: long non-coding RNA, 889 nt
Filed under: Mus pahari (shrew mouse)
Lineage: Eukaryota; Metazoa; Chordata; Mammalia; Rodentia; Muridae
Description: predicted gene, 26838 (MGP_PahariEiJ_G0004406.1)
Source: RNAcentral